AAUCCCACAGGCCGUAAACCCAAGGUUUCCAGGGGAAGGUUCGUCCGCCCUGGGUUAGUCGGGACCUAAGCUGAGGCCGAAAGGCGUAGGUGAUGGACAACAGGUUGAUAUUCCUGUACUACCGAUAACCGUUUGAGAGAAGGGAUGACACAGUAGGAUAAGCUAAGCACACUGUUGGUUAUGUGUGCCCAAGCAUUGAGGCAGUCAAAGUAGGCAAAUCCGCUUUGAUAAUGCUGGGAUGUGAUGGGGAGCGAAAUUUAGUAGCGAAGUAGCUGAUUUCACACUGUCAAGAAAAGUCUCUAUCGAGGUUAAAGGUACCCGUACCGCAAACCGACACAGGUGGGUGAGGAGAGUAUCCUAAGGCCAGCGAGAGAACUGUUGUUAAGGAACUCGGCAAAAUGACCCCGUAACUUAGGGAUAAGGGGUGCCACCAUCAGGUGGCCGCAGAGAAUAGGCCCAAGCGACUGUUUACCAAAAACAUAGGUUUCUGCUAAGUCGCAAGACGAUGUAUAGGAGCUGACGCCUGCCCGGUGCUGGAAGGUUAAGGGGAUCUGUUAGAGCAAUCGAAGCAGUGAACUUAAGCCCCAGUAAACGGCGGCCGUAACUAUAACGGUCCUAAGGUAGCGAAAUUCCUUGUCGGGUAAGUUCCGACCCGCACGAAAGGCGUAACGAUUUGGGCACUGUCUCAACAACAGACUCGGUGAAAUUGUAAUUCCGGUGAAGAUGCCGGAUACCUGCGACAGGACGGAAAGACCCCAUGGAGCUUUACUGUAGCUUGACAUUGGGUCUUGGUACUACAUGUACAGGAUAGGUGGGAGGCUUUGAAACCAGGACGCCAGUUUUGGCGGAGCCAUCCUUGGGAUACCACCCUUGUAGUACUGGGACUCUAACCAUAGGCCAUGAAUCUGGUCUUGGGACACUGUCAGGUGGGCAGUUUGACUGGGGCGGUCGCCUCCCAAAAGGUAACGGAGGCGCUCAAAGGUUCUCUCAGUACGGUCGGAAAUCGUACGUAGAGUGUAAAGGCAAAAGAGAGCUUGAUUGCAAGACAUACAGGUCGAGCAAGGAUGAAAAUCGGACUUAGUGAUCCGGUGGUUCUGCGUGGAAGGGCCAUCGCUCAACGGAUAAAAGCUACCCUGGGGAUAACAGGCUUAUCUCCCCCAAGAGUCCACAUCGACGGGGAGGUUUGGCACCUCGAUGUCGGCUCAUCACAUCCUGGGGCUGUAGUAGGUCCCAAGGGUUGGGCUGUUCGCCCAUUAAAGUGGUACGCGAGCUGGGUUCAGAACGUCGUGAGACAGUUCGGUCCCUAUCCGUCGCAGGCGUAGGAAAUUUGAGAAGACCUGUCCUUAGUACGAGAGGACCGGGAUGGACGUACCUCUGGUGUACCAGUUGUCCUGCCAAGGGCAUGGCUGGGUAGCUAUGUACGGAAUGGAUAAGCGCUGAAAGCAUCUAAGCGCGAAGCCAACUUCAAGAUAAGAUUUCCCACCGCAAGGGUAAGACCCCAGAAAGACUAUCUGGUUGA
This 1519-nucleotide ribosomal RNA is filed under the name Clostridioides difficile. RNAcentral's name for it is "bacterial LSU rRNA". It matches the Rfam family "Bacterial large subunit ribosomal RNA", at positions 1326 to 2856 of the family's 2925-position model. Lineage: Bacteria; Bacillati; Bacillota; Clostridia; Peptostreptococcales; Peptostreptococcaceae. The record is from RNAcentral.